CACAGGUGGAAGGGCACGCUGCCACUUCUGCCACUGGAAGACUGCCAGCAGGUGCAGGAGUCGGUGCUUCGAGUGUGGCCAGAUAGUGUGCACCAACCACUACAAACUCCUGUGCCCCAACUGCUAUCAGUAAAAGAAACGACCCUGUCCAGUGAUGCCAAAUUUCAUAGAAGGGGGCCCUACAGUAUGAGGCACCUCACUUUUGAAGCUGGCCAGGGCAAUGCAGUAAUCUACCGUGAUGGUCGGACCUCCAACCUUGUGUUUCUGUGCCUUUUCUUUUAUUAUGUACCUUUUUUGCAACUGCAAAAGAUGUUUUACAAAAGUCACUCAAAAUUUUACUUAUUUUUGUUUCCUAGCUUAGUAAAUUUUUAUACAGUCAUGAUAUACCUCAUACUUGCUGUGAUAGCAUUCAGAUGGAUCUAUUUUUUCAUUUUUGUAGUCAUUCAAACAAUAAAAAUUAGUGCUAGUAUUUUUUUUUUAUUAUUUCCUCAGCCGGACCAGUUGGUCCAGGUAUACUUCGUAUGUACGCUGUGGACCAGAGAUACCAAUCUAGG
This is a long non-coding RNA of Eriocheir sinensis (Chinese mitten crab), 554 nucleotides long. RefSeq lists it as uncharacterized. The transcript has 3 exons. Lineage: Eukaryota; Metazoa; Arthropoda; Malacostraca; Decapoda; Varunidae. The record is from RefSeq and is a predicted model, not a curated record.